AUACGUAGGGGGCGAGCGUUGUCCGGAUUUAUUGGGCGUAAAGAGCUCGUAGGCGGCUUAGCAAGUCGGCCGUGAAAGUCCGAGGCUCAACCUCGGAAAGCCGGUCGAAACUGCUAUGGCUAGGGUCCGGUAGAGGAGAGUGGAAUUCCCGGUGUAGCGGUGAAAUGCGCAGAUAUCGGGAGGAACACCAGUAGCGAAGGCGGCUCUCUGGGCCGGUACCGACGCUGAGGAGCGAAAGCGUGGGGAGCAAACAGGAUUAGAAACCCGGGUAGUCC
RNAcentral lists this ribosomal RNA (275 nucleotides) under uncultured bacterium. Its description in RNAcentral is "partial 16S ribosomal RNA". It matches the Rfam family "Bacterial small subunit ribosomal RNA", at positions 523 to 796 of the family's 1533-position model. The record is from RNAcentral.